RNAcentral lists this long non-coding RNA (915 nucleotides) under Gallus gallus (chicken). Lineage: Eukaryota; Metazoa; Chordata; Aves; Galliformes; Phasianidae. The record is from RNAcentral.
CAGCUCAUCUUCACUUUGUACAUCUGCAAAACCAACGCUGUCCAUCUUGCGAAAAGGCUUUGGUGUCCCCAUGUCGACCACUCUGCAAAGAAAGAAAGGAAGUAUGAGGGAACCACGCUUGCAGGCUGCCCACCAACAGCUGUCCUACAGCCACUGCCAAAUCCUGAUCACUGGGGCACCACAGUUACCUCUCUGACUCUCCCUCCUCCUCUGGCAAGUUUUCCAAGGGAGAUGGGAAUUCAAAAGUAGUAUUGGGUGUGCGGGGUGUGCCAUCCACACACUCAUUAGCAGGUGGGGCUUCUCCCGUCUGCUUCGAGCCUGAUUCACUGUCCUUGUUUCCCUCUGGAGAUGAAAAAGGACCCACUGCCAAAGGAGACAUUGGGUUGGCAGGUGGGUACGGCGCAUCUGUGCCAUCGCUGGAGGACCCACUCUGGCGCACUUUGCCUGAAUCUGGAGGCUCUGGGCUAACAGAAGGCACUGCAGGGAUGUGCUUUUGAUGGCGCUGCUUCUGUAUCUCCAUGGCUCUGCCAAUUGCACUGCUGUCAUGUCGGCUGGGUCUCCUCGGUGGGCCCAAGAUAUUAGGAAAGCCUCUCCUCUUUCCUUUUUCAUCUCCUUCUUUCUCUUUCUUGAUACUUUGCUUGAUCUUUGGCAAGAAACCAAUACGGCCACGCUUCUGCUCCAGGUUCCGAGCCUCUUUAGCUUUGACUCCGAGGUGCUUCAUGUAAGUAAGAAUCACAUACUGUAUGGUGGAACUCUUGUCUUCCUCCAAAGGUUGGGAUGUCAUCAGGACUUCCUCAAUUUUGGCAAUAAUCUGUUCUGCACAUGCUCUUUCCUUCUCCACUGCGUUCCGGUCACGAACCCUUUCUGCAUCCAACUUGGUCAACUCCCCCUCUGCCAGGGUCAAACCCAUACUAC